CGUAGGCGGUUCGCUGCCGGCGACGUCGCGAGAAUUCCACUGAACCUUAUCAUUUAGAGGAAGGAGAAGUCGUAACAAGGUUUCCGUAGGUGAACCUGCGGAAGGAUCAUUGUCGAACCCUGCAUGGCAGAACAACCCGUGAACGUGUAUCAACAAGACGGCUUGGCGGGCUGUCGAAGCUUUCUGUUUCGAGCCUCGUUAAGCCUGUCGACGUGCGUCCGGGGUGCCUCCUUUUGGCACCUCCGGCGGCACGUUGACGCAAUAACAACCCCCGGCACGGAACGUGCCAAGGAAAACCGAACAUAAGAGUGCCCUUGUGGUGAUGCCCCGUAUUUGGUGGCCUCGUUGCAUGCGGCUGCUUUUGUAAAUCUUAAACGACUCUCGGCAACGGAUAUCUAGGCUCACGCAUCGAUGAAGAACGUAGCAAAAUGCGAUACUUGGUGUGAAUUGCAGAAUCCCGUGAACCAUCGAGUUUUUGAACGCAAGUUGCGCCUGAGGCCUCCCGGCUGAGGGCACGUCUGCCUGGGCGUCACGCAUCACGUCGCCCGCAUCAAACGUCCUUGUUUGGAUUGUGAUGUAUGCGGGCGGAGACUGGUCUCCUGUGCCCAUGGUGCGGUUGGCCUAAAUACGAGUCCGCUUAAGAGUGACGCACGACUGGUGGUGGUUGACUACGCGGUCGUCUCGUGUCGUGUGUUUCGAUUCUUAAAGGGAAACGCUCUUGAACUACCCUGAUGCGCCGUCUUGCGACGGCCCUUCGAUCGCGACCCCAGGUCAGGCGGGACUACCCGCUGAGUUUAAGCAUAUCAAUAAGCGGAGUAAA
This 820-nucleotide ribosomal RNA is filed under the name Chromolaena stachyophylla. RNAcentral's name for it is "eukaryotic LSU rRNA". The stretch from base 377 to 532 matches the Rfam family "5.8S ribosomal RNA". The record is from RNAcentral. Lineage: Eukaryota; Viridiplantae; Streptophyta; Magnoliopsida; Asterales; Asteraceae.